RNAcentral lists this ribosomal RNA (468 nucleotides) under uncultured bacterium. Its description in RNAcentral is "bacterial SSU rRNA". It matches the Rfam family "Bacterial small subunit ribosomal RNA", at positions 29 to 495 of the family's 1533-position model. The record is from RNAcentral.
AUUGAACGCUGGCGGCAUGCCUUACACAUGCAAGUCGAACGGUAACGCGGGGCAACCUGGCGACGAGUGGCGAACGGGUGAGUAAUGCAUCGGAACGUGCCCAGUAGUGGGGGAUAGCCCGGCGAAAGCCGGAUUAAUACCGCAUACGACCUACGGGUGAAAGCGGGGGACCGUAAGGCCUCGCGCUAUUGGAGCGGCCGAUGUCAGAUUAGGUAGUUGGUGGGGUAAAGGCCUACCAAGCCUUCGAUCUGUAGCUGGUCUGAGAGGACGACCAGCCACACUGGGACUGAGACACGGCCCAGACUCCUACGGGAGGCAGCAGUGGGGAAUUUUGGACAAUGGGCGCAAGCCUGAUCCAGCCAUGCCGCGUGCGGGAAGAAGGCCUCGGUUGUAACGACUUUGUCUAGGAGAAACGACUACCGGCGUAAUACCUACGUGUGGAGUGACGGUACCGGAACGUAAGAAGAC